Molecule: ribosomal RNA, 216 nt
Filed under: uncultured bacterium
Lineage: Bacteria
Description: partial 16S ribosomal RNA
Rfam family: Bacterial small subunit ribosomal RNA
Source: RNAcentral
UACAGAGGGUGCGAGCGUUUGUCCGGAAUCACUGGGCGUAAAGGGCGCGUAGGUGGCGACCCAAGUCGAUGGUGAAAGCUCGCCGCUCAACGGCGAGUCGGCCACCGAUACUGGGUUGCUGGAGCACUGUAGAGGCUCAUGGAAUUCCGGGUGUAGCGGUGGAAUGCGUAGAGAUCCGGAAGAACACCGGUGGCGAAGGCGGUGAGCUGGGCAGUU